RNAcentral lists this long non-coding RNA (534 nucleotides) under Homo sapiens (human). RNAcentral describes it as "non-protein coding lnc-VTA1-2:1". The record is from RNAcentral. Lineage: Eukaryota; Metazoa; Chordata; Mammalia; Primates; Hominidae.
AUUUCCUUGAGGCAACUUUCUAGAUAAUUUUCUUCAUACACCUUUGGAUGGCCUGAAUUCGAUGUUGUUCAAUAUGAAAUCAUACAUUGAGGGGUCAUAAAGCCAAUUACAUAAACGUAGAAGGGGAAUGACCUGCCUUGUCACCACAGUGACAAUCUCAAGUGACCCGCAGUGUGAUGGGACCACUAAUGAAACUGACACCACUUAAAUGAUAUUAGGAAGAGGGAGAUGUCAGGUGUCCUACUUUUUAUUGGUGAGAUCACGCUUGUCUCCAGGCAUGACUGUCAUAAUGUGGAGAGGGUUGGUAAACAGAGAAUAUUUAGACGAGGCACACCAGCAUACUGAUGAGUCUCAAGCUAUCUGAGGAAUUUUUGGAGCAGUCCCUGUCAAUACUGGGUGAGUGAAACCUCUUUAGAGGUGGGCUGCGACUGUGAACUCCCUUUGUGUCAGCUACAACGUUCUUGCUUUCGUGUAUCAAUUUGUUUGUUUUUUAAGUACAAAUUUUGUUGCAUUGUUGCAUUAAAAAUGGAUGUA